GAGGCAUACUGCUACCUCGGGCAGUGUGUCACCACCGUUUUGGGUGCCGUGCUCUCCUUUGGGCAGUGUGUCGCUGCUUUGGGUGAAGAACUGCUGCCGGUGGAGGAUUCUUCCUCUAUUUUUUGCAUCGCUGUCGCGUCACGUUAAAUCACUCAUCUUCCACUCAAUUUUCUCUCUCCUCACUGAUUUUGCCACUUAGCGCAAAUCU
Molecule: long non-coding RNA, 208 nt
Filed under: Carica papaya (papaya)
Lineage: Eukaryota; Viridiplantae; Streptophyta; Magnoliopsida; Brassicales; Caricaceae
Description: long non-coding RNA (CPAP_LNC014452)
Source: RNAcentral